UCCGCGUGGGUGAAGAAGGCCUUCGGGUUGUAAAGCCCUUUUGUUGGGAAAGAAAUCCAGCUGGCUAAUACCCGGUUGGGAUGACGGUACCCAAAGAAUAAGCACCGGCUAACUUCGUGCCAGCAGCCGCGGUAAUACGAAGGGUGCAAGCGUUACUCGGAAUUACUGGGCGUAAAGCGUGCGUAGGUGGUCGUUUAAGUCCGUUGUGAAAGCCCUGGGCUCAACCUGGGAACUGCAGUGGAUACUGGGCGACUAGAAUGUGGUAGAGGGUAGCGGAAUUCCUGGUGUAGCAGUGAAAUGCGUANAGAUCAGGAGGAACAUCCAUGGCGAANGCAGCUACCUGGACCAACAUUGACACUGAGGCACGAAAGCGUGGGGAGCAAACAGGAUUAGAUACCCUGGUAGUCCACGCCCUAAACGAUGCGAACUGGAUGUUGGGUGCAAUUUGGCACGCAGUAUCGAAGCUNACGCGUUAAGUUCGCCGCCUGGGGAGUACGGUCGCAAGACUGAAACUCAAAGGAAUUGACGGGGGCCCGCACAAGCGGUGGAGUAUGUGGUUUAAUUCGAUGCACGCG
Molecule: ribosomal RNA, 575 nt
Filed under: Stenotrophomonas maltophilia
Lineage: Bacteria; Pseudomonadati; Pseudomonadota; Gammaproteobacteria; Lysobacterales; Lysobacteraceae
Description: bacterial SSU rRNA
Rfam family: Bacterial small subunit ribosomal RNA
Source: RNAcentral